UGGGGGAUAUUGCACAAUGGGGGGAACCCUGAUGCAGCGACGCCGCGUGAAGGAAGAAGUAUCUCGGUAUGUAAACUUCUAUCAGCAGGGAAGAAAAUGACGGUACCUGACUAAGAAGCCCCGGCUAACUACGUGCCAGCAGCCGCGGUAAUACGUAGGGGGCAAGCGUUAUCCGGAUUUACUGGGUGUAAAGGGAGCGUAGACGGCGAUGCAAGCCAGAUGUGAAAGCCCGCGGCUCAACUGCGGGACUGCAUUUGGAACUGUAUGGCUGGAGUGCAGGAGAGGCAGGCGGAAUUCCUAGUGUAGCGGUGAAAUGCGUAGAUAUUAGGAGGAACACCAGUGGCGAAGGCGGCUUACUGGACGGUAACUGACGUUGAGGCUCGAAAAGCGUGGGGAGCAAACAGGAUUAGAUACC
RNAcentral lists this ribosomal RNA (415 nucleotides) under uncultured bacterium. RNAcentral describes it as "bacterial SSU rRNA". It matches the Rfam family "Bacterial small subunit ribosomal RNA", at positions 355 to 786 of the family's 1533-position model. The record is from RNAcentral.